RNAcentral lists this ribosomal RNA (460 nucleotides) under uncultured bacterium. RNAcentral describes it as "partial 16S ribosomal RNA". It matches the Rfam family "Bacterial small subunit ribosomal RNA", at positions 338 to 795 of the family's 1533-position model. The record is from RNAcentral.
CCUACGGGAGGCAGCAGUGAGGAAUAUUGGUCAAUGGCCGUAAGGCUGAACCAGCCAAGCCGCGUGAAGGAAGAAGGAUCUAUGGUUUGUAAACUUCUUUUAUACGAGAAUAAAGGUAGCUACGCGUGUCUAUUUGCAUGUACCCUACGAAUAAGCAUCGGCUAACUCCGUGCCAGCAGCCGCGGUAAUACGGAGGGUGCGAGCGUUAUUCGGAUUUAUUGGGUUGAAAGGGCGCGUAGGUGGUUUUUUAAGUCAGCGGUGAAAGUUUGGGGCUCAACCAGAGAACUGCCGUUGAAACUGGAAGGCUUGAGUGUGUGAGAGGUAAGUGGAAUGCGAGGUGGAGCAGUGAAAUGCAUAGAUAUCACGAAGAACACCGAUGGCGAAGGCAGCUUACUAGGACAUAACUGACACUGAGGCACGAAAGCGUGGGGAGCAAACAGGAUUAGAUACCCUUGUAGUC